CCUACGGGUGGCAGCAGUAGGGAAUAUUGCGCAAUGGGCGAAAGCCUGAAGCAGCGACGCCGCGUGGGGGAUGAAGGUUUUCGGAUUGUAAACUCCUUUUGUUAGAGAAGAUUGUGACGGUAUCUAACGAAUAAGCACCGGCUAACUCCGGGCCAGCAGCCGCGGUAAUACGGAGGGUGCAAGCGUUACUCGGAAUCACUGGGCGUAAAGAUUGCGUAGGCGGGGUAAUAAGUCAGAUGUGAAAUCCUGUAGCUUAACUACAGAACUGCAUUUGAAACUGGUACUCUGGAGUGUGGGAGAGGUAGGUGGAAUUCUUGGUGUAGGGGUAAAAUCCGUAGAGAUCAAGAGGAAUACUCAUUGCGAAGGCGACCAGCUGGAACAUUACUGACGCUGAUGCACGAAAGCGUGGGGAGCAAACAGGAUUAGAUACCCGGGUAGUC
This 440-nucleotide ribosomal RNA is filed under the name uncultured bacterium. RNAcentral's name for it is "partial 16S ribosomal RNA". It matches the Rfam family "Bacterial small subunit ribosomal RNA", at positions 338 to 795 of the family's 1533-position model. The record is from RNAcentral.